This is a non-coding RNA of Nomia melanderi (Alkali bee), 2147 nucleotides long. Lineage: Eukaryota; Metazoa; Arthropoda; Insecta; Hymenoptera; Halictidae. The record is from RefSeq and is a predicted model, not a curated record.
UGCGUCAUUUGUCGGGCGAUCAUCGUAACAUCGACUAACAAGCGAAGCUCCGACGCAUUUGCUCGGCCAGCCAGCUAGCUGUUUAACAUUCCGAGAACGUAUAUUCUAAUGUCCUCCAUCCGUCCAUCAAAUUUCACAUUUUCCCGCACACCGAGCAUCGAACGUUGGUUCAUCUGUUCUCAUGGCCGAGCGGCACGAAAUUUUUCACGGUCGGCCGUGAAUACACUUGCGUCACCGUACAAACGCAUGCGCGCGAUGACUUUCAAUAGGAGACGCCAGAAAAUCGAUGGAAAUUGGAUAAACACACGGCUCCCGCGAUAAUAGACGAUCGCAGUGCGCCAAGUGUUUCUCGUACUCACCGAACGGAACUUAAAUCAUCGACUGCCCGCAACGGAACGAUACUCACCUGAAACAAGAGAAACAGGAAAACUGUUAUUGUUCGCGGGUAACUCGUUACGAAAUUGCGGUCCCGCGACCGGGCAUUAUCCUUUCCUCAGUUAGCCGUAAUUGAACGAGGUGUGACUCAAUUGCGUCUAACAUCGGGAAAUUGCGUGGAACAGGAUCGACGAAUGGCAUGUAAAGUCAGUUCAGAUCUGCGUAAGACACGUUCAUAUCGAAAUCUAAAUGAGUUUUAGAGUAUCGUGGAAUAAUCUUCCUCGGAGAUUAGCCCGAUCAAUCCAUCAUCGUGCAUGGGGAAUCAAGGAAAUCCUCGGUGAACAUGAUGCGCCAGCCUUUCCGGAAAUUUUUCGCGCGACUGAGAACGUUGAUUGCAAUGUUUCCAGCCGGCCACUUUCCGGAAGUGGAGGCGCUCCACGCUCAGAAAUUAUAUUUAAUAACCGGCCGCUGUUUACGCUUGAUCCUUGAACCUGUUGACGUGCUUCACGCAUUGUCGUCCUUGCGUUUCACUUCGAGGAGGAAAUAAUUCGACAGCGACCAAUUAUGUGACAGUACGACCGACCAACAAGUUCGUGGAGACGUUCAGUAACGUGUGGAUGCUUAAACUAUGAUAUUUUACAGAACCAGGAAGUUGUAUGGUGGUCACAUCAAUAGGAAGGUUAGUCACCAUCAACAGUUGAAUGUUAAUGUAGUUAGCAUUAAAUUGUGAAUUUUGAAUAAAGAUUACUGUUGAGUUGUAUGUUGCAAAUGAAAAGGUUACUUUUAGACUGUAAGUUGUAAAUGUCAAAUUGAUUGAUAAAUAUGAGAAAUAAAAUGCCAAAGGUAUUGAACGAAAAGGAAGUAAUAAGAUAUGUUAGUUUUUUUUAUUUAAUUGGGCAGUUAAUAUAAUAAUACUGCAGAAGGUAAAAUAUUCAAGGACUGAAUAUUAAAAUUCCAACGGGGACCAUUAGUCAAUUCCGUGGAUAUUGAACGUGACACUCAUGCAAAAGCGAAACGGGCUGUAAAUUGAAAAGAAAGACUGCAAGAAUGACUCCUUAUCCAGAUACUUAAUAUACCAGUAUACAAAGUGAAAUGUUGAAGCAUUGAAUUAUAAAAUAUUAACGAAGGUUACUAUUAAAAUUCAGUAAAGAUCGAGCAUUACAAAAAUGAUAAAAUUGCUAUUAAACGCGACGACUAUUGAGCCGAACAGAAAAAUAAAAAUUUAAGAUUGAACGCUAUCGAGAUCAAAGAUUUUUAAAUUAUUUACCGUGAUAUAUAAUGGAAUUCGUAUUAGUGUCGAAGUAAAUGCUUCCUACUACCAAUCGUAUAAGAAGAAGGAUAAAAUAAGGGAUCUUUCUCAUGCACUUGUUCAAACAUGGAACCGUUGAGUUGCAAAAUUACAACGGAAAUUAAUAUUGAAUUGCUUAAGAUUGGAUAUAAUAAGAAUCCAGAAAGUGAGCCGUUGACACAAUGAGUUAUCAGAUUCAGAAAUGACAGAUCGUUAAAAUUACCGUCUUCCAAGAUACACGAGGAACAAAAGAAUGUUCCCGAACGUGCAAUUUCAUCUCCGCCGGCAAUAAAUAAGCUUCCCGUGGAUUCUGAGCCGUUCGCGGCAAUUCUCACUUAUUACCAUAGAACGAGGCAAUCGAAUGGGAAGUAACAAGUUGUUUCGUUGUUUAAUUAGCACCUACCUCUGUUUGUUCGAUGACUUGAUUUAGAUUUCAAUGUUACUGGAAUAAUAAACUAUGAUUUCGGGCGCGAAGAUCAUAAGU